GUGGGGAAUCUUGCGCAAUGGGCGAAAGCCUGACGCAGCCAUGCCGCGUGAAUGAUGAUGGUCUUAGGAUUGUAAAAUUCUUUCACCGGGGACGAUAAUGACGGUACCCGGAGAAGAAGCUCCGGCUAACUUCGUGCCAGCAGCCGCGGUAAUACGAAGGGGGCUAGCGUUGCUCGGAAUUACUGGGCGUAAAGGGCGCGUAGGCGGACAGCUUAGUCAGAGGUGAAGGCCCAGGGCUCAACCUUGGAAUUGCCUUUGAUACUGGCUGUCUUGAGUUUGGGAGAGGUGAGUGGAACUCCGAGUGUAGAGGUGAAAUUCGUAGAUAUUCGGAAGAACACCAGUGGCGAAGGCGACUCACUGGCCCAAUACUGACGCUGAGGCGCGAAAGCGUGGGGAGCAAACAGGAUUAGAAACCCUUGUAGUCC
This 425-nucleotide ribosomal RNA is filed under the name uncultured bacterium. RNAcentral describes it as "partial 16S ribosomal RNA". It matches the Rfam family "Bacterial small subunit ribosomal RNA", at positions 354 to 796 of the family's 1533-position model. The record is from RNAcentral.